Molecule: ribosomal RNA, 496 nt
Filed under: uncultured bacterium
Lineage: Bacteria
Description: partial 16S ribosomal RNA
Rfam family: Bacterial small subunit ribosomal RNA
Source: RNAcentral
AUGAACGCUGGCGGCGUGCCUCAUACAUGCAAGUCGAGCGAACAGACGAGGAGCUUGCUCCUCUGACGUUAGCGGCGGACGGGUGAGUAACACGUGGAUAACCUACCUAUAAGACUGGGAUAACUUCGGGAAACCGGAGCUAAUACCGGAUAAUAUAUUGAACCGCAUGGUUCAAUAGUGAAAGACGGUUUUGCUGUCACUUAUAGAUGGAUCCGCGCCGCAUUAGCUAGUUGGUAAGGUAACGGCUUACCAAGGCGACGAUGCGUAGCCGACCUGAGAGGGUGAUCGGCCACACUGGAACUGAGACACGGUCCAGACUCCUACGGGAGGCAGCAGUAGGGAAUCUUCCGCAAUGGGCGAAAGCCUGACGGAGCAACGCCGCGUGAGUGAUGAAGGUCUUCGGAUCGUAAAACUCUGUUAUUAGCGAAGAACAAAUGUGUAAGUAACUAUGCACGUCUUGACGGUACCUAAUCAGAAAGCCACGGCUAACUACGUG